GGAGACGUCGCAUAGCCCGGUCGAGUGCGCCUCACUGCUAAUGAGGUAGGGGUCUUAAAAGCCCCUCGGAGGUUCAAAUCCUCUCGUCUCCG
RNAcentral lists this transfer RNA (92 nucleotides) under Aquiluna borgnonia. It matches the Rfam family "tRNA". From Rfam's summary of the family: Transfer RNA (tRNA) molecules are approximately 80 nucleotides in length. Their secondary structure includes four short double-helical elements and three loops (D, anti-codon, and T loops). The record is from Rfam by way of RNAcentral. Lineage: Bacteria; Bacillati; Actinomycetota; Actinomycetes; Micrococcales; Microbacteriaceae.